UUUGAUUCUAGUGCUGACUGUUCCUUA
This 27-nucleotide small RNA is filed under the name Bombyx mori (domestic silkworm). RNAcentral describes it as "piRNA piR-bmo-1484607". Lineage: Eukaryota; Metazoa; Arthropoda; Insecta; Lepidoptera; Bombycidae. The record is from RNAcentral.